GGAAGUGGAUAGGGCACUGGUGGCCCUCCCGGACUUCAAAUCCGGUGCAAGGGGUUAAUAGCCUCUUGGGUGAGUUCGAUUCUCAUGCACUUCCGCCA
This 98-nucleotide transfer RNA is filed under the name Desulfobulbaceae bacterium S5133MH15. RNAcentral's name for it is "tRNA-Sec". It matches the Rfam family "Selenocysteine transfer RNA". The record is from RNAcentral. Lineage: Bacteria; Pseudomonadati; Thermodesulfobacteriota; Desulfobulbia; Desulfobulbales; Desulfobulbaceae.